RNAcentral lists this non-coding RNA (170 nucleotides) under bovine gut metagenome. Its description in RNAcentral is "malK-I RNA". It matches the Rfam family "malK-I RNA". The record is from RNAcentral.
GCCUCCGCCACUCCACAACAAUGGCGGACAAGCCGUGAAAAAAAGGAGGAAAAAAACGCCCCGGCUCGGGCUGCGGCAGUGUGGAGACCUGUCGUAUACGCAGGCGGCGCAAGCCCCUGUGAGGGCACAUCCGGCGGAGGCCAUGUAUCCGGAGUCAGAAAACUAUGGCA